Molecule: ribosomal RNA, 492 nt
Filed under: uncultured Sphingobacteriales bacterium
Lineage: Bacteria; Pseudomonadati; Bacteroidota; Sphingobacteriia; Sphingobacteriales
Description: bacterial SSU rRNA
Rfam family: Bacterial small subunit ribosomal RNA
Source: RNAcentral
AGCCCGCUCAGAAACUCAAGGAAUUGACGGGGCCGCACAAGCGGAGGAGCAUGUGGUUUAAUUCGAUGAUACGCGAGGAACCUUACCUGGGCUCGAACGUAAGAUGACUGAGGUGAAAGCUUACAUCUCUUCGGAGCAUUUUACGAGGUGCUGCAUGGUUGUCGUCAGCUCGUGCCGUGAGGUGUCGGGUUAAGUCCCAUAACGAGCGCAACCCCUACCUUUAGUUGCCAUCAGGUUAAGCUGGGGACUCUAAAGGAACUGCCUACGCAAGUAGUGAGGAAGGCGGGGAUGACGUCAAAUCAGCACGGCCCUUACGUCCAGGGCUACACACGUGCUACAAUGGCCGAUACAGAGGGCAGCUACCUGGUGACAGGAUGCAAAUCUCCAAAGUCGGUCUCAGUUCGGAUCGGAGUCUGCAACCCGACUCCGUGAAGUUGGAUUCGCUAGUAAUCGCGCAUCAGCCAUGGCGCGGUGAAUACGUUCCCGGGCCUU